GCAAAUUCGGGGUCAAAUGUUGGAUGAAAUCAUCACCAACAAGAUGUACUUUCCGGUAUUGAAGCGUCACAAACAAGAGGAUUGAGCUACGAGUUAGAUAAUACAUCUUGAGAAACCGGUGAAACGGAUAUUGCAGUGAUGAGGAUGGUACAGAAGAUGGUGUCAGUAUUAAACAUGUGAUGUAUGUGAAAUCGAAACCUUAGAAGCUAAGUAUAUUUUUUAAAUGAAAUAUUCUGUAAGAGUUAAUAUUAAGUUUACCGAAAAUGAAUGAAAUUGAUUUUUGUCAUUGGUGUUUUCAGGGAAGAUCGUACGAGGUUUUACGGUGCUGAAAGAAUAUCUGCUUUGAAUUAUUUUCAUUCUCAAGAGAUUAUUUGCAGAGAUUUGCAUCUGAAAAAUCUUUUGCUGGACAAAGAUGGUUAUAUUGAAAUCGCUGAUUUUGGACUAUGUCAAGAAGACAUAACUUAUGGACGAUCAACAAAGAUAUUCUACAGUAAACCAGAAUAUUAAGCUUCAGAAGUUCUAGAGGAUAACGAUUAUGGAGGUGCUGUUGAUUGGUGGAGUAUUGGUG
Molecule: long non-coding RNA, 568 nt
Organism: Chelonus insularis
Lineage: Eukaryota; Metazoa; Arthropoda; Insecta; Hymenoptera; Braconidae
Exons: 3
Source: RefSeq, a predicted model, not a curated record